UACGGAGGGGGCGAGCGUUAUUCGGAAUUAUUGGGCGUAAAGGGCGCGUAGGCGGCUUUGUAAGUCAAAGGUGAAAUCCCUCGGCUCAACUGAGGAACUGCCUUUGAAACUGCAAGGCUUGAGGCCGGGAGGGGGUAGCGGAAUUCCCAAUGUAGCGGUGAAAUGCGUAGAUAUUGGGAGGAACACCAGUGGCGAAGGCGGCUACCUGGACCGGUUCUGACGCUGAUGCGCGAAAGCGUGGGUAGCAAACAGG
This 253-nucleotide ribosomal RNA is filed under the name uncultured bacterium. RNAcentral's name for it is "partial 16S ribosomal RNA". It matches the Rfam family "Bacterial small subunit ribosomal RNA", at positions 524 to 776 of the family's 1533-position model. The record is from RNAcentral.